This 84-nucleotide transfer RNA is filed under the name Candidatus Komeilibacteria bacterium RIFCSPLOWO2_02_FULL_48_11. RNAcentral's name for it is "tRNA-Leu". It matches the Rfam family "tRNA". Rfam says of the family: Transfer RNA (tRNA) molecules are approximately 80 nucleotides in length. The record is from RNAcentral. Lineage: Bacteria; Candidatus Komeiliibacteriota.
GCCGCGGUGGCGGAACUGGUAGACGCACAGGACUCAAAAUCCUGCGAUGGCGACAUCAUGAGAGUUCGAGUCUCUCCCGCGGCA